This 458-nucleotide ribosomal RNA is filed under the name uncultured bacterium. RNAcentral's name for it is "partial 16S ribosomal RNA". It matches the Rfam family "Bacterial small subunit ribosomal RNA", at positions 338 to 795 of the family's 1533-position model. The record is from RNAcentral.
CCUACGGGGGGCAGCAGUGAGGAAUAUUGGUCAAUGGGCGAGAGCCUGAACCAGCCAAGUCGCGUGAGGGAGUACUGCCCUAUGGGUUGUAAACCUCUUUUGUCGGGGAGCAAAAGCCGGACGUGUCCGGCUGUGAGAGUACCCGAAGAAAAAGCAUCGGCUAACUCGGUGCCAGCAGCCGCGGUAAUACGGAGGAUGCGAGCGUUAUCCGGAUUUAUUGGGUUUAAAGGGUGCGCAGGCGGAUUUUUAAGUCAGCGGUAAAAUCGUGGGGCUCAACCCCAUCCAGCCGUUGAAACUGGGGAUCUAGAGUGUGCGAGAGGUAUGCGGAAUGCGUGGUGUAGCGGUGAAAUGCAUAGAUAUCACGCAGAACCCCGAUUGCGAAGGCAGCAUACCGGUGCACAACUGACGCUCAGGCACGAAAGCGUGGGUAUCGAACAGGAUUAGAUACCCUUGUAGUC